AGGUGGACAUUUGAGUGCAAUGUUAUGCUGUUAGGUCUUUAUAAUCCUCCCUGUACGCACUGAAACGAGUGAGGGUAUCUGCUCUUCAAGUGCAGAGGGGAGAACACAGCAGACACCGGUGUGCAAUGCUGGUGACAGAAGGAGAAUUGUGGCUGUAGACUUGAGUGUGGAAAUUCCUCAACUUCCCAUGUUUGGCACCAUUCUUUCUAAAUCACCACU
Cygnus olor (mute swan) is the source of this 219-nucleotide long non-coding RNA. RefSeq lists it as uncharacterized. The transcript has 3 exons. The record is from RefSeq and is a predicted model, not a curated record. Lineage: Eukaryota; Metazoa; Chordata; Aves; Anseriformes; Anatidae.